Molecule: ribosomal RNA, 190 nt
Filed under: uncultured bacterium
Lineage: Bacteria
Description: partial 16S ribosomal RNA
Rfam family: Bacterial small subunit ribosomal RNA
Source: RNAcentral
ACUGCACGAAGCUGGAAUCGCUAGUAAUCGCGGAUCAGCACGCCGCGGUGAAUACGUUCCCGGGCCUUGUACACACCGCCCGUCACACCAUGGAAGUCUGCAAUGCCCGAAGCCGGUGGCCUAACCACUUAUGUGGAAGGAGCCGUCUAAGGCAGGGCAGAUGACUGGGGUGAAGUCGUAACAAGGUAGC